Molecule: long non-coding RNA, 201 nt
Organism: Nilaparvata lugens (brown planthopper)
Lineage: Eukaryota; Metazoa; Arthropoda; Insecta; Hemiptera; Delphacidae
Exons: 3
Source: RefSeq, a predicted model, not a curated record
UUAUCGGGAGAUUUCUUGUUGGAUUAUCGUCAGGUCUAAUAACAGGAGUUAUGCCCAUGUAUCUCUGUGAAAUAGCGCCACCCAAUCUGAGAGGGGUGAUGGGUGUACUAUGCCCACUAGGACUAACAUUUGGCGUUGUUUUCUCACAGUUUAUGGGCAUGAGUUGGAUUUUAGGAACUGAACAACACUGGCACCAUCUGU